This 405-nucleotide long non-coding RNA is filed under the name Sorghum bicolor (sorghum). RNAcentral's name for it is "long non-coding RNA (SBIC_LNC007868)". Lineage: Eukaryota; Viridiplantae; Streptophyta; Magnoliopsida; Poales; Poaceae. The record is from RNAcentral.
CUGUAAUCUUGCCUUUUUAAUUUUCUUUGUUUCUUUUUUGUUUCCUGAUUCUUGCUCGCUCCUUGCCUCCCUCCCUCUGCUGGUUGUAACUUGUUCUUUGUUUGUAUUUCCCAGUUUUCUUUAAUAAAUUUACUGUAGGGGCCAAGCCCCUCCAGUUUUCCUAAAAAAAAAAAUUCAGCCAGACUUUUGGGGUCCUCAAAUGAUUUCAAAUGAAGAACACAUCAACUACAAAGUUGUUGUUCUCAUCGAAACCUACAACUUUGGUUCUGGUCGAUGUUUGUAAUACACAAUUUUAAAAACAAAACCAGAUAUACACCAUAUGUGAGUCUUAGAAGUCAAAUCUCACAUAUAACUACAAAUAAGGGGUAAUAUCAAAAGACAAUGCAUAAAUUAUAUAAUAUACAU